RNAcentral lists this ribosomal RNA (222 nucleotides) under uncultured bacterium. RNAcentral describes it as "partial 16S ribosomal RNA". It matches the Rfam family "Bacterial small subunit ribosomal RNA", at positions 109 to 334 of the family's 1533-position model. The record is from RNAcentral.
AGUAAUGUAUGGGGAUCUGCCCGAUAGAGGGGGAUAACUACUGGAAACGGUGGCUAAUACCGCAUAAUGUCUACGGACCAAAGCAGGGGCUCUUCGGACCUUGCACUAUCGGAUGAACCCAUAUGGGAUUAGCUAGUAGGUGGGGUAAAGGCUCACCUAGGCGACGAUCUCUAGCUGGUCUGAGAGGAUGAUCAGCCACACUGGGACUGAGACACGGCCCAG